AGUGAACGCUGGCGGUAGGCCUAACACAUGCAAGUCGAACGGCAGCACAGUAAGAGCUUGCUCUUACGGGUGGCGAGUGGCGGACGGGAGAGGAAUACAUCGGAAUCUACUUUUUCGUGGGGGAUAACGUAGGGAAACUUACGCUAAUACCGCAUACGACCUACGGGUGAAAGCAGGGGAUCUUCGGACCUUGCGCGAUUGAAUGAGCCGAUGUCGGAUUAGCUAGUUGGCGGGGUAAAGGCCCACCAAGGCGACGAUCCGUAGCUGGUCUGAGAGGAUGAUCAGCCACACUGGAACUGAGACACGGUCCAGACUCCUACGGGAGGCAGCAGUGGGGAAUAUUGGACAAUGGGCGCAAGCCUGAUCCAGCCAUACCGCGUGGGUGAAGAAGGCCUUCGGGUUGUAAAGCCCUUUUGUUGGGAAAGAAAAUCAGCAGGUUAAUACCCCGCUGUUCUGACGGUACCCAAAGAAUAAGCACCGGCUAACUUCGUG
This 492-nucleotide ribosomal RNA is filed under the name uncultured bacterium. RNAcentral's name for it is "partial 16S ribosomal RNA". It matches the Rfam family "Bacterial small subunit ribosomal RNA", at positions 29 to 507 of the family's 1533-position model. The record is from RNAcentral.